This 446-nucleotide ribosomal RNA is filed under the name uncultured bacterium. RNAcentral's name for it is "partial 16S ribosomal RNA". It matches the Rfam family "Bacterial small subunit ribosomal RNA", at positions 338 to 795 of the family's 1533-position model. The record is from RNAcentral.
CCUACGGGUGGCAGCAGUCGAGAAUCAUUCACAAUGGGGGAAACCCUGAUGGUGCGACGCCGCGUGGGGGAAUGAAGGUCUUCGGAUUGUAAACCCCUGUCAGGUGGGAGCAAAUUAAAAAGAUAGUACCACAAGAGGAAGAGACGGCUAACUCUGUGCCAGCAGCCGCGGUAAUACAGAGGUCUCAUGCGUUGUUCGGAAUCACUGGGCGUAAGGCGUGCGUAGGCUGUUUCGUAAGUCGUGUGUGAAAGGCGCGGGCUCAACCCGCGGACGGCACAUGAUACUGCGAGACUAGAGUAAUGGAGGGGGAACCGGAAUUCGCGGUGUAGCAGUGAAAUGCGUAGAUAUCGAGAGGAACACUCGUGGCGAAGGCGGGUUCCUGGACAUUAACUGACGCUGAGGCACGAAGGCCAGGGGAGCGAAAGGGAUUAGAUACCCUAGUAGUC